UCCGGCUUAUCACCGGCAGUCCCACUAGAGUGCCCAACUGAAUGAUGGCAACUAAUGGCGAGGGUUGCGCUCGUUGCGGGACUUAACCCAACAUCUCACGACACUUCGAGCCCAGGUAAGGUUCUUCGCGUUGCGUCGAAUUGAACCACAUGCUCCACCGCUUGUGCGGGCCCCCGUCAAUUCCUUUGAGUUUUAAUCUUGCGACCGUACUCCCCAGGCGGGGCACUUAAUGCGUUAGCUGCGGCACCCAGGGGGUCAAUACCCCGGACACCUAGUGCCCAUCGUUUACAGCGUGGACUAC
This 301-nucleotide unclassified non-coding RNA is filed under the name uncultured Pseudomonadota bacterium. Its description in RNAcentral is "uncultured proteobacterium contains 16S-23S intergenic spacer region". The record is from RNAcentral. Lineage: Bacteria; Pseudomonadati; Pseudomonadota.